RNAcentral lists this ribosomal RNA (511 nucleotides) under uncultured bacterium. RNAcentral describes it as "bacterial SSU rRNA". It matches the Rfam family "Bacterial small subunit ribosomal RNA", at positions 9 to 515 of the family's 1533-position model. The record is from RNAcentral.
GAGUUUGAUCCUGGCUCAGAUUGAACGCUGGCGGCAGGCCUAGCACAUGCAAGUCGGGCGGUAGAGAGAAGCUUGCUUCUCUUGAGAGCGGCGGACGGGUGAGUAAUGCCUAGGAAUCUGCCUGGUAGUGGGGGGAUAACGCUCGGAAACGGACGCUAAUACCGCAUACGUCCUACGGGAGAAAGCAGGGGACCUUCGGGCCUUGCGCUAUCAGAUGAGCCUAGGUCGGAUUAGCUAGUUGGUGAGGUAAUGGCUCACCAAGGCGACGAUCCGUAACUGGUCUGAGAGGAUGAUCAGUCACACUGGAACUGAGACACGGUCCAGACUCCUACGGGAGGCAGCAGUGGGGAAUAUUGGACAAUGGGCGAAAGCCUGAUCCAGCCAUGCCGCGUGUGUGAAGAAGGUCUUCGGAUUGUAAAGCACUUUAAGUUGGGAGGAAGGGCAGUAAAUUAAUACUUUGCUGUUUGACGUUACCGACAGAAUAAGCACCGGCUAACUCUGUGCCAGCACG